UCAUAUUCCCUCUUCUUACCCUCAUCUCUGCCUUUAGAAAUAAAUAUGACUCUGCCAGAUCUGUUUCUGAACAUGUGUGUGCAGUGAAAGGGAAGGCCUAGUCAGCCAAGACAAAAAAAGGAAUUCAUCAACUCCAUCAAGAGCUGGAGGAAAGUAAUACUGCAGCAGAAACAAUGUGGCACUACUUUCAAACAAGGUGUCAAGAGUCCCUGUCACUUCCUCUCACCCUCUUGGA
This 235-nucleotide long non-coding RNA is filed under the name Mustela putorius furo (domestic ferret). Its description in RNAcentral is "lncRNA (ENSMPUG00000031585.1)". Lineage: Eukaryota; Metazoa; Chordata; Mammalia; Carnivora; Mustelidae. The record is from RNAcentral.